Molecule: long non-coding RNA, 2236 nt
Filed under: Macaca fascicularis (crab-eating macaque)
Lineage: Eukaryota; Metazoa; Chordata; Mammalia; Primates; Cercopithecidae
Description: lncRNA (ENSMFAG00000065769.1)
Source: RNAcentral
CAGGCUGUGGAUGAGUGGCUGGUGAACAGGGGCCUGACACCCCCUAAAGGUCUCCUUCCUCUACAGUGUGAAAAGAAAAGAUCCUGAAGCUCACGGCUGAUGCCAAGUUUGUGUGGCCAAGCACAGUGUGGAUGGCGGAUGCUUGUCCAGUGAAGUGCAGCAGCUGGGGCUGCCCAAAGGAACCCAAGGCCAGCUCCCAACUGCUACCUCCAGAGCUACUCCAUUCUACCCCCAGAGCACGUGGCCAGCCUGUGCCCCUGUUAUGAGAAGAAACAAAGCACAUUGUAGAAGCACUUGGGGUCUGCAACCUACGCAGCGAGUAUGAGGCCAGCCAGGGUCCAGGCUCAUUCUAGAAGGUGCACGCAGCAUGCAAAGUGCAUGGAGAGUCCAGGGAGACGACUUAACCACAGUCACAUACUGAGCAGCUGCAGAGCUGGGACCUGGCCCUGGGUCUCCUGAAUCCACGGACUCUGUGGUGCAUCGGAGGCUGAACCCCUCUCCCAUCCAGCUUGGUGGCCAUCUGGCUGAUCCACUCUUCCAGGUGGACCCUCUCUCCUCACGUGGUUCAGGUCCUAUUGCAACACCUCCAGACAGGCCAUGCUAGCCCCAGGGCCUCCCUUCCCUACUACUCAUCCCCCAACCCCAGAAGUGCAAAGGAACCUGGUGCCAGCCGCAGUCAACCCCGAUGUGAUGAUCUUUCUGCCCACCCUCUUUGAUGUCUUGGAGCUGGCCGCUGUCUUUGGCCAGACCUGCAAGUCCGGUCCUUGGGGGUGUAGGAGGAAAGAAGCCCCUGGCUGUGAGUCCUCGAGAUGGACCCUGGCCCUCUCUGGUUCUGAGUUCCUGGGAAAGUCGGUGGUGUUGGAACUCCGGAUUCAUUCCUCAGCGUUGAGGCACUGUCUGUGGAAGCCGUGGGACAAGGUGAAGGUGGGGAGAGGAGAGGCUUGGAGUUUGGGUUUCAGCAGAGGGAUCAGCAGCGUGAGGGGUCGCCUGUGUGUAGAGGAAAGGGAGUGAAGGCCAGGAGUGAGGAAUGAGUCUGAGUGCACCCAGGAUGGUGCUGCAUCUCCUCCCACAUCCACCUGGCCCCAGGGAAGGGAGAAGAAAGGCCACGAGACAAAGGGGAAACUGAGUUGGGUCCAUACAUGUCCUUCCAGGACCUGGAGGUGCCACUGUCUGGCCCUCAGGCAGUGGGAAGUGGGGGAAGGGAGAUUCCCUCCCCAUACCUCGUGUUCUCUGUCCCAGGUCUCCUGGCCCCCUGUGCACCUAAGUUCAGUCUCUGUCGGCCCCCAGCAUCAUUUCUAGGGUUGGUGGGAGGCAGCUGGGAACAGUUUAGGGGUAGGUGGGGCCUGUUUGGAGGAGUCUGCUUGACUGCUUGGGCCACUGCCCACAGUAGUGGGGAGCUUUUCUGGCACACUGACUGCACCACCCAGGCGCUGCCAGUAACAGCCCCCAGGGAGUGUUUGCAGAAGGCCUUGGUGGGCGGUGGGGGUGGACCCCACCCAGAACAAACACCUGGGCUGGCGUCAGGGAGAACAGCCCUCCACUUACCUGUCUGGAGGGUCCUCUGUACCACACUGUGCGUGUCUAAGCUCCGAGGCUGAACACACUGAGGGAGGCCCUCCACUUUAGCACCUUGACAAGAAGGGCAGGGACACCGGGAUCAGGCCCAGCCCCCUGGCCCCAAACCUGCAACCCCAGCUGGAGGGUGAGGAGGUGCUGGUCUUGGGUUGGGGAAUCAGGGGUGUAAAGGGGCCUGCUCACCCCUCAGCUUGGCUCAAAGUCUCAAGGUGUCAAAGGCUCAGCCUGCCCCUCAGAAAGGAGCCCGGACCCAGCCAGAUACUCACCAGGACAAGGGUGAAUGUGACGAGCAGGAGGCCUAGAAUGAAGAGAGCCAUGGCAUAGCCGGGGAUGGAGGUGUCCAGCGGGCUGGGGGCUUUGGGGCUAGGAGUGCCUAGAGCAGAGCAAGAAGGCUAUGGCCAGGUGGGUCCCUGCCUCCCAGACUUCUGAGAUAGCAUAAUCUGGGCCCAGAAGGUGCUGUGGGACCUGUUAUAUGUCAUGGACCUACCUCAAAAAUACUAGCUAAGUAAAAAAGCCAGACACGAGACCACAUAUUGUAUAAUUCCAUUGAUUUGAAAUGUCCAAAAAAGGCAAACUGAUAGAGACAGAAGUGGGCUGAUUUACCUCAAGAGGCAGCGACUCAAGCUCUCUAGAUGACAGGUGAUACAUCCAUGAGAAAAAA